GAUCACUCAUCCAGUUCUAGUGUUUGUUACACGUCACGUCUCUUCACAUGUAACAUUCAGUCUGUGUUCGUAGUCUGGGUUCCGUGUGGGUUGUCUGGGUUCAUGUGGGUAGUCUAGGUAGUCUGGGUUCCGUGUGGGUAGUCUGGGUUCCGUGUGGGUAGUUCUGGGUAGUCUGGGUCCCAUGUGAGUAGUCUGGGUUCCGUGUGGGUAGUCUGGGUAGUCUGGGUUCCAUGUGGGUAGUCUGGGUUCCGUGUGGGUAGUCUGGGUUCCAUGUGGGUAGUCUGGGUUCCGUGUGUGUAGUCUAGGUAGUCUGGUUCCGUGUGGGUAGUCUGGGUUCCGUGUGGGUAGUCUAGGUAGUCUGGGUUCCGUGUGGGUAGUCUGGGUUCCGUGUGUGUAGUCUGGGUUCCAUGUGGGUAGUCUGGGUUCCGUGUGGGUAGUCUGGGUUCCGUGUGGGUAGUCUGGGUUCCGUGUGGGUGGUCUGGGUUCCGUGUGUGUAGUCUGGGUUCCAUGUGGGUAGUCUGGGUUCCGUGUGUGUAGUCUAGGUAGUCUGGGUUCCGUGUGGGUAGUCUGGGUUCCGUGUGGGUAGUCUGGUUUCCGUGUGGGUAGUCUGGGUUCCGUGUGGGUAGUCUAGGUAGUCUGGGUUCCGUGUGGGUAGUCUAAGUAGUCUGGGUUCCGUGUGGGUAGUCUGGGUUCCAUGUGGGUAGUCUGGGUUCUGUGUGGGUAGUCUGGGUUCCAUGUGGGUAGUCUAGGUAGUCUGGGUUCCGUGUGGGUAGUCUAGGUAAUCUGGGUUCCGUGUGUGUAGUCUGGGUUCCGUGUGUGUAGUCUGGGUUCCGUGUGUGUAGUCUGGGUUCCGUGUGUGUAGUCCUGUUUCUGGGUUGUGUUUGUGUAACGUUGCUGUAUUUGGAGGGUUCCUGGUGGAGACUGUCUGACUGACAUUGCCUACGUU
Acanthochromis polyacanthus (spiny chromis) is the source of this 946-nucleotide long non-coding RNA. RefSeq lists it as uncharacterized. NCBI's taxonomy places the organism in Eukaryota, Metazoa, Chordata, Actinopteri, Pomacentridae. The transcript is spliced from 3 exons. The record is from RefSeq and is a predicted model, not a curated record.